GACGAACGCUGGCGGCGUGCUUAACACAUGCAAGUCGAACGGAAAGGCCCUGCUUUUGUGGGGUGCUCGAGUGGCGAACGGGUGAGUAACACGUGAGUAACCUGCCCUUGACUUUGGGAUAACUUCAGGAAACUGGGGCUAAUACCGGAUAGGAGCUCCUGCUGCAUGGUGGGGGUUGGAAAGUUUCGGCGGUUGGGGAUGGACUCGCGGCUUAUCAGCUUGUUGGUGGGGUAGUGGCUUACCAAGGCUUUGACGGGUAGCCGGCCUGAGAGGGUGGCCGGCCACAUUGGGACUGAGAUACGGCCCAGACUCUUACGGGAGGCAGCAGUGGGGAAUAUUGCACAAUGGGCGGAAGCCUGAUGCAGCAACGCCGCGUGCGGGAUGACGGCCUUCGGGUUGUAAACCGCUUUCGCCUGUGACGAAGCGUGAGUGACGGUAAUGGGUAAAGAAGCACCGGCUAACUACGUG
Molecule: ribosomal RNA, 468 nt
Filed under: uncultured bacterium
Lineage: Bacteria
Description: partial 16S ribosomal RNA
Rfam family: Bacterial small subunit ribosomal RNA
Source: RNAcentral